RNAcentral lists this non-coding RNA (71 nucleotides) under Saccharothrix espanaensis DSM 44229. The record is from RNAcentral. Lineage: Bacteria; Bacillati; Actinomycetota; Actinomycetes; Pseudonocardiales; Pseudonocardiaceae.
GAGGAAGCCGGUGCGAAUCCGGCACGGUCCCGCCACUGUGACCGGGCACCAGGCCCGGGAGUCAGGAACUC